GUUCGGUGACGAGCAAACAGACAAGCAUAUGGCUGAGCCUCCCUGAUGCCAGCUUUCCUGCUGAGAAC
This 68-nucleotide small nucleolar RNA is filed under the name Nothoprocta perdicaria. RNAcentral's name for it is "Small nucleolar RNA SNORD27 (ENSNPEG00000013205.1)". Lineage: Eukaryota; Metazoa; Chordata; Aves; Tinamiformes; Tinamidae. The record is from RNAcentral.